AGCGAACGCUGGCGGCAGGCUUAACACAUGCAAGUCGAGCGCCCCGCAAGGGGAGCGGCAGACGGGAGAGUAACACGUGGGAACAUACCUUUUGGUUCGGAACAACUGAGGGAAACUUCAGCUAAUACCGGAUAAGCCCUUACGGGGAAAGAUUUAUCGCCGAAAGAUUGGCCCGCGUCUGAUUAGCUAGUUGGUGAGGUAACGGCUCACCAAGGCGACGAUCAGUAGCUGGUCUGAGAGGAUGAUCAGCCUCACUGGGACUGAGACACGGCCCAGACUCCUACGGGAGGCAGCAGUGGGGAAUAUUGGACAAUGGGGGCAACCAUGAUCCAGCCAUGCCGCGUGAGUGAUGAAGGCCUUAGGGUUGUAAAGCUCUUUUGCCCGGGAAGAUAAUGACGGUACCGGGAGAAUAAGCCCCGGCUAACUUCGUG
RNAcentral lists this ribosomal RNA (431 nucleotides) under uncultured bacterium. RNAcentral's name for it is "partial 16S ribosomal RNA". It matches the Rfam family "Bacterial small subunit ribosomal RNA", at positions 29 to 507 of the family's 1533-position model. The record is from RNAcentral.